RNAcentral lists this ribosomal RNA (1105 nucleotides) under 'Manilkara zapota' phytoplasma. Its description in RNAcentral is "bacterial SSU rRNA". It matches the Rfam family "Bacterial small subunit ribosomal RNA", at positions 202 to 1314 of the family's 1533-position model. The record is from RNAcentral. Lineage: Bacteria; Bacillati; Mycoplasmatota; Mollicutes; Acholeplasmatales; Acholeplasmataceae.
CCUAGUGAUAGGUAUACUUUAGGAGGGGCUUGCGCCAUAUUAGUUAGUUGGUAGGGUAAUGGCCUACCAAGACGAUGAUGUGUAGCUGGACUGAGAGGUUGAACAGCCACAUUGGGACUGAGACACGGCCCAAACUCCUACGGGAGGCAGCAGUAGGGAAUUUUCGGCAAUGGAGGAAACUCUGACCGAGCAACGCCGCGUGAACGACGAAGUACUUUGGUAUGUAAAGUUCUUUUAUCAAGGAAGAAAAGCAAGUGGUGAACCAUUUGUUUGCCGGUACUUGAUGAAUAAGCCCCGGCUAAUUAUGUGCCAGCAGCCGCGGUAAGACAUAAGGGGCAAGUGUUAUCCGGAAUUAUUGGGCGUAAAGGGUGCGUAGGCGGUCUAGUAAGUCAGUGGUGUAAUGGCAACGCUCAACGUUGUCCGGCUAUUGAAACUGCUAAACUUGAGUUAGAUAGAGGCGAGUGGAAUUCCAUGUGUAGCGGUAAAAUGCGUAAAUAUAUGGAGGAACACCAGAGGCGUAGGCGGCUCGCUGGGUCUUAACUGACGCUGAGGCACGAAAGCGUGGGGAGCAAACAGGAUUAGAUACCCUGGUAGUCCACGCCGUAAACGAUGAGUACUAAGUGUCGGGUUAAACCGGUACUGAAGUUAACACAUUAAGUACUCCGCCUGAGUAGUACGUACGCAAGUAUGAAACUUAAAGGAAUUGACGGGACUCCGCACAAGCGGUGGAUCAUGUUGUUUAAUUCGAAGAUACCCGAAAAACCUUACCAGGUCUUGACAUGUUUUUGCGAAACGGUAGUAAUAUCGUGGAGGUUAUCAGAAACACAGGUGGUGCAUGGUUGUCGUCAGCUCGUGUCGUGAGAUGUUAGGUUAAGUCCUAAAACGAGCGAAACCCUUAUCGUUAGUUGCCAGCACGUUAUGGUGGGGACUUUAACGAGACUGCCAGUGAUAAAUUGGAGGAAGGUGAGGAUCACGUCAAAUCAGCAUGCCCCUUAUGACCUGGGCUACAAACGUGAUACAAUGGCUGUUACAAAGGGUAGCUGAAACGCAAGUUCUUGGCCAAUCCCCAAAAACAGUCUCAGUCCGGAUUGAAGUCUGCAACUCG